AACGUAGGGGGCGAGCGUUAUCCGGAUUUAUUGGGCGUAAAGCGCACGUAGGUGGCGCUAUAAGUUGGACGUGAAAGCUCCUGGCUCAACUGGGAGAGGUCGUUCAAAACUAUGGCGCUUGAGGUUGGAAGAGGAGAGUGGAAUUCCCGGUGUAGUGGUGGAAUGCGUAGAUAUCGGGAGGAACACCAGUGGCGAAAGCGGCUCUCUGGUCCACACCUGACGCUGAGGUGCGAAAGCGUGGGGAGCGAACGGG
This 253-nucleotide ribosomal RNA is filed under the name uncultured bacterium. RNAcentral's name for it is "partial 16S ribosomal RNA". It matches the Rfam family "Bacterial small subunit ribosomal RNA", at positions 524 to 776 of the family's 1533-position model. The record is from RNAcentral.